Molecule: small RNA, 1070 nt
Filed under: Phormidesmis sp. L27
Lineage: Bacteria; Bacillati; Cyanobacteriota; Cyanophyceae; Leptolyngbyales; Leptolyngbyaceae
Description: bacterial SSU rRNA
Rfam family: Bacterial small subunit ribosomal RNA
Source: RNAcentral
CGCAAUGGGCGCAAGCCYGACGGAGCAAUACCGCGUGAGGGAGGAAGGCUCUUGGGUCGUAAACCUCUUUUAUCAGGGAAGAACACAAUGACGGUACCUGAUGAAUCAGCAUCGGCUAACUCCGUGCCAGCAGCCGCGGUAAUACGGAGGAUGCAAGCGUUAUCCGGAAUUAUUGGGCGUAAAGCGUCCGCAGGUGGUUUUGAAAGUUUGCUGUCAAAGCGCGAGGCUCAACUUCGUAUCGGCGGUGAAAACUUCAAGACUAGAGCUAGGUAGGGGUCACGGGAAUUCCCAGUGUAGCGGUGAAAUGCGUAGAUAUUGGGAAGAACACCAGCGGCGAAAGCGCGUGACUGGGCCUGAGCUGACACUCAUGGACGAAAGCUAGGGGAGCGAAAGGGAUUAGAUACCCCUGUAGUCCUAGCCGUAAACGAUGACAACUAGGUGUUGCCCGUAUCGACCCGGGCAGUGCCGUAGCCAACGCGUUAAGUUGUCCGCCUGGGGAGUACGCACGCAAGUGUGAAACUCAAAGGAAUUGACGGGGGCCCGCACAAGCGGUGGAGUAUGUGGUUUAAUUCGAUGCAACGCGAAGAACCUUACCAAGGCUUGACAUGUGCAGAAUCCUCUUGAAAGGGAGGAGUGCCUUCGGGAGCUGCAACACAGGUGGUGCAUGGCUGUCGUCAGCUCGUGUCGUGAGAUGUUGGGUUAAGUCCCGCAACGAGCGCAACCCUCGUUUCUAGUUGCCAUCAUUGAGUUGGGCACUUUAGAGAGACUGCCGGUGACAAACCGGAGGAAGGUGGGGAUGACGUCAAGUCAGCAUGCCCCUUACGCCUUGGGCUACACACGUACUACAAUGCUACGGACAAAGAGCCGCAAGUUCGCGAGGACAAGCAAAUCUCAUAAACCGUGGCUCAGUUCAGAUUGCAGGCUGCAACUCGCCUGCAUGAAGGCGGAAUCGCUAGUAAUCGCAGGUCAGCAUACUGCGGUGAAUACGUUCCCGGGCCUUGUACACACCGCCCGUCACACCAUGGGAGUUGGCCACGCCYGAAGUCGUUACUCCAACCGUUCGCGGAGGA